ACUCCUACGGGAGGCAGCAGUGGGGAAUUUUGGACAAUGGGGGCAACCCUGAUCCAGCCAUUCCGCGUGAGUGAAGAAGGCCUUCGGGUUGUAAAGCUCUUUCAGCCGGAACGAAACGGUACGCGCUAACAUCGUGUGCUAAUGACGGUACCGGCAGAAGAAGCACCGGCUAACUACGUGCCAGCAGCCGCGGUAAUACGUAGGGUGCGAGCGUUAAUCGGAAUUACUGGGCGUAAAGCGUGCGCAGGCGGAUUAUUAAGCAAGACGUGAAAGCCCCGGGCUUAACCUGGGAAUGGCGUUUUGAACUGGUAGUCUAGAGUGCGUCAGAGGGGGGUGGAAUUCCACGUGUAGCAGUGAAAUGCGUAGAGAUGUGGAGGAACACCAAUGGCGAAGGCAGCCCCCUGGGAUGACACUGACGCUCAUGUACGAAAGCGUGGGUAGCAAACAGGAUUAGAUACCCUGGUAGUC
RNAcentral lists this ribosomal RNA (468 nucleotides) under uncultured bacterium. RNAcentral's name for it is "bacterial SSU rRNA". It matches the Rfam family "Bacterial small subunit ribosomal RNA", at positions 335 to 795 of the family's 1533-position model. The record is from RNAcentral.